UGCGCAGGCGGUUCGUUGUGUCUGAUGUGAAAUCCCCGGGCUCAACCCGGGAACUGCAUUGGAAACUGGCGGACUUGAGUGCGGCAGAGGGGGGUGGAAUUCCGCGUGUAGCAGUGAAAUGCGUAGAGAUGCGGAGGAACACCGAUGGCGAAGGCAGCCCCCUGGGCCGACACUGACGCUCAGGCACGAAAGCGUGGGGAGCAAACAGGAUUAGAUACCCUGGUAGUCCACGCCCUAAACGAUGUCGACUGGGUGUCGGGAGAGAGAUCUCUUGGUACCGAAGCUAACGCGUGAAGUCGACCGCCUGGGGAGUACGGCCGCAAGGUUAAA
RNAcentral lists this ribosomal RNA (330 nucleotides) under uncultured bacterium. RNAcentral's name for it is "bacterial SSU rRNA". It matches the Rfam family "Bacterial small subunit ribosomal RNA", at positions 568 to 898 of the family's 1533-position model. The record is from RNAcentral.